This 580-nucleotide ribosomal RNA is filed under the name Bacillus sp. 4H10. RNAcentral's name for it is "bacterial SSU rRNA". It matches the Rfam family "Bacterial small subunit ribosomal RNA", at positions 180 to 744 of the family's 1533-position model. Lineage: Bacteria; Bacillati; Bacillota; Bacilli; Caryophanales; Bacillaceae. The record is from RNAcentral.
AUUGAACCGCAUGGUUCAAUCAUAAAAGGUGGCUUUUAGCUACCACUUGCAGAUGGACCCGCGGCGCAUUAGCUAGUUGGUGAGGUAACGGCUCACCAAGGCGACGAUGCGUAGCCGACCUGAGAGGGUGAUCGGCCACACUGGGACUGAGACACGGCCCAGACUCCUACGGGAGGCAGCAGUAGGGAAUCUUCCGCAAUGGACGAAAGUCUGACGGAGCAACGCCGCGUGAGUGAUGAAGGUUUUCGGAUCGUAAAACUCUGUUGUUAGGGAAGAACAAGUACCGUUCGAAUAGGGCGGUACCUUGACGGUACCUAACCAGAAAGCCACGGCUAACUACGUGCCAGCAGCCGCGGUAAUACGUAGGUGGCAAGCGUUGUCCGGAAUUAUUGGGCGUAAAGCGCGCGCAGGCGGUUUCUUAAGUCUGAUGUGAAAGCCCCCGGCUCAACCGGGGAGGGUCAUUGGAAACUGGGGAACUUGAGUGCAGAAGAGGAGAGUGGAAUUCCACGUGUAGCGGUGAAAUGCGUAGAGAUGUGGAGGAACACCAGUGGCGAAGGCGACUCUCUGGUCUGUAACUGAC